CCGGAUUGGAGUCUGCAACUCGACUCCAUGAAGUCGGAAUCGCUAGUAAUCGUGGAUCAGAAUGCCACGGUGAAUACGUUCCCGGGCCUUGUACACACCGCCCGUCACACCAUGGGAGUGGGCUGCAAAAGAAGUAGGUAGUUUAACCUUCGGGGGGACGCUUACCACUUUGUGGUUCAUGACUGGGGUGAAGUCGUAACAAGGUAGCGCUAGGGGAACCUGGCGCUGGAUCACCUCCUUAAACGAUGAU
Molecule: ribosomal RNA, 250 nt
Filed under: Vibrio parahaemolyticus
Lineage: Bacteria; Pseudomonadati; Pseudomonadota; Gammaproteobacteria; Vibrionales; Vibrionaceae
Description: partial 16S ribosomal RNA
Rfam family: Bacterial small subunit ribosomal RNA
Source: RNAcentral